UUCCAUUGGUAUGUUUGAUUUACAAGCUUCCUAAACCAGUUGCCUCUUUGAUUUCAGGUGCACCUCAAGGCUAGAAGCAUACCGUAUGUACAGUACUUCAUUUUAUUCUUCUGACAGAAAAAAAAAAGAUAAACAACAGAGGAUCCAGCUCUGUACGAGCCACAGUGGGUUCACACGGCACACAUUUCUGGGGAAAUGGAAAUGAGAUCAUGGCAGAGAUUGGGCUCAUGAAAGGAGCGGGACUCUCGGAGAGAUGAUGACAGAGGCGGCAGGUUCCACUCUGAAGUGUAAACACUGCCUUUCAAGUGCUUCCACACACGGAGACGGCGCUGCUCCGUCCCAGCCCGGCUCGGCCCCUCGCUGAGAGACAGGCGCACACCUGAAAGCAGGGACGAAAUAAAGGCUGAUUGUUUUUCAGUGGCCUGCGCCAGCACUAGAAACCCUACACUCCCUCUACUCCGCUAGUCCUCUUGUUUACACUGCGCCCCCAGAGCUCUGGCACGGCUGUGGCGCUGGGGCCAGGCGAGGACCUCUGGUGUGCGAGGUCACUGUUGUUUUCCUUCUCUAGCACGCGAAGCGAGAGAGCGGCACUGGUUUCUGUGGAGAAACUCCUCCCUCCCAGGAGCUGUGAGAACGGAUCUCUUUUUCCAUGCCGCUGGCAGCCGAGGAGCCAGCAUUUUCUUAAAAUCUCUUCGAUAGAUGUGCAAAGUGAGAGGAAAACAAGGAGACAGUGAUGGGUGAAUGGAAGAGGUACACUACUAAAUAAAAGCAAACCACGUGGUGUCACCCAGGCCAAGACUGCUCAACGGACAAGGCCACAGGCACCACCUACCACUGGUCUGUACACCGACAGGGGAGCAGUGGAAAGGAUGUGGAAGUACUUUUAAACCUGGUAGAGGAGGGACUUCAUCUUAUACAAAGGGCUGUGGGAUUCUAGACCAAGCUGUGUAGCAAUGUUGUUGGAGCCUGCAACCCUGGUUUCUUUCAAGACAGGGAGGUGAAAUACUUGAAUCUGUAAAUUUUAAUCUACUUGUAUACAGAUUGCAAUCAAAGAACACAAUGCCUGAGAAUCUCUUAUUGAAAUGCACUCUCUUUUAUAUAAAAAGUCUAAACUUUCAAUCAAAAAAUUUCAUGAACUAUUAAAUGCAGGUGGGUGCAGGCUUUUCCUAUCUUUCUUUGAUAGCUAGCAGCUUCGCAAGCAAUAAAAUCCCAAUAGAGUUUUUAAUUGUGUGAAUAUUAAGAGCACUGUAUAAUUGCAUGUGUAAUCAUUUUUUUUAGAAACUUGUAUUUUGACAUAUAAGGGUAAAUAUAACACAAUGAAUGUGGGUGGGUGAAUGUUAUUUAUUAUUUAUACAGUAUAUACCACAUAAAUGCAGCAGAUCCAGAAAUCUGAAAUGGCUCCCUAUUUAAUAUUGUUUUUUUUCCAGUGUCUUCAUAAUAAAAAAAAACGACACUGAUACCCAUCUUUUCAAAAACCUUGGUACUUUGUUUUCACUGGAAAAACUAUAAAUGAAUUAAGGACUGAGAAAACAAGUUCUAAAUGGUUUAAUGGAGAAAUUGUCAUCGAAAGGAAGGGAGCGCUCUGGAAGCCCACGAUGCAAAGAUAUACUCUUUGUCCAUCGAACUACAGGCUCAGCUGAAAAACAAUAACUAAACUGGCAAGAGAGAGACAGAAAAUUACAACAAAGGCAUAAAACUGCCUUUCAGUACUAUAACAGUUUAGGAACUGUGAAACUGAAGUAAAUGGUAACUGAAGCAAGCUGGAGAAAUGCAAACACAACAAACAUUCAUAAAACAGUGAACCAG
Long non-coding RNA from Lepisosteus oculatus (spotted gar), 1806 nucleotides. The record is from Ensembl. NCBI's taxonomy places the organism in Eukaryota, Metazoa, Chordata, Actinopteri, Semionotiformes, Lepisosteidae.